Molecule: long non-coding RNA, 818 nt
Filed under: Androctonus crassicauda
Lineage: Eukaryota; Metazoa; Arthropoda; Arachnida; Scorpiones; Buthidae
Source: RNAcentral
AUUUAUUUAUUUCUCUAUAGUGAGAUAGAAGUUACCAUACAUUAUAUUAAAAGCUGUCUUUAUAAUCUGAAGGAUAUAGGUUCAGCAUGUCCCAUACUUUCAUGUUUCACUUUAAAAAUCUGUUGGACAACACAAUUGUGGUGCAGUCCAUGAUUGGCCUGGAAUAACCCUGUUGUUUAUUAUUCUCUUUUGAUUGAAAAGCAGAAUAAAAAUUAAAACGAAAAAUUGUCCCAAUAAAAGUUGAUACUUGUUUUAUUUAGUAAUUUCAAUAAUAUUUUUUGCAUGAAAGUAAUAACUACAAUAAAUGUUUCAGAACUUAAUCAAAAGCCCACUGAUGAUAAUAUAGUUAAUAAUAAUAUAAUAUGCUCUUCUGUUUCUUGUUUUAUGAUGUUUUCCAUCCUAUUGCCAUUGACCAGAUCAAUAUGGUAAAUUACUCAUUUAUUAUCAUAGAGGAUCUGAGUUCUCCAGAUUUUCAAGUGGAGUUUAGGACUGGCCCAUUAAACUCAUCCUUCAACCUUUGGGUUAACCACAUCAGGGAUGUUGGCCAUCCUGUGAUAGGUUCUAGAAAGUGGUUGUUGUCAGAUACAAGAUGUCCGGUGUGAGAUAAGGCAGAUUAACAAAAACUAAAACAUUUUACCGUCUACAAAUUUUGCAAAUUAAUAGUACUUACCAAUACCAACUAUAGAUCAUUCAUGGUUAUAGUAGAGUAGGAUGUCAGUUAAAUGAUGUAUUUUGAUGGAACUUGAUUUCCUUCUAAGAAAAUAUAAAUUGUGGAUCCAGAAUUGAAUCCAAAAUUUUAGGUUGUAAAGUAAUUUUAU